CGGGGGGGCAAGCGUUGUUCGGAAUUACUGGGCGUAAAGGGCUCGUAGGCGGCCAACUAAGUCCGACGUGAAAUCCCCAGGCUUAACCUGGGAACUGCGUCGGAUACUGGAUGGCUUGAAUUCGGGAGAGGGAUGCAGAAUUCCAGGUGUAGCGGUGAAAUGCGUAGAUAUCUGGAGGAAUACCGGUGGCGAAGGCGGCAUCCUGGACCGACAUUGACGCUGAUGAGCGAAAGCUAGGGGAGCAAACGGGAUUAGAUACCCCGGUAGUCCUAGCCCUAAACGAUGAAUGCUUGGUGUGGCGGGUAUCGAUCCCUGCCGUGCCGAAGCUAACGCAUUAAGCAUUCCGCCUGGGGAGUACGGUCGCAAGGCUG
This 371-nucleotide ribosomal RNA is filed under the name uncultured organism. RNAcentral describes it as "bacterial SSU rRNA". It matches the Rfam family "Bacterial small subunit ribosomal RNA", at positions 527 to 896 of the family's 1533-position model. The record is from RNAcentral.